UGAACAAAAAAACUCAAAAUGUAAAUUUAGCACUUUUAGGAUUGAAAUGGAAAAAAGAAGAAAAAAAUAAAGUAUCUUUGGUGUUAACUAAUGGAAUAUACAGUUAAUUAAUGGAAUAUAUUGUUGACGUAAUGGACAUGGCUAACAGUAAGCAAUUUUAGAAAGUAUCAAGAUCUGAUUACUCAAAAGGGAAAAAAAAAAAACUAAAGGACUUGAUUAUAAACAACAGUGUUUAGUUUUAGGACUUCAUAUGUUGUUAUCACUAUUUAAAUCUUUACUUUUUAUUAUUGUUAGUUUUCUUAUGAUAGAUUGUUUCCUUUGCUUUGCUUAAAAAUAUCUGGCUUUAUCUGGCUUUGUUUUCCAGAUGCAGGAAAACUGAAAUUGUACAUCAUAGUUUUACUAUUGUCUUCUUAUAAGAGGGUUGUAUUGAUAAGGUUACUGGCAGUAGGAAACUCGAAUAACCUAAUCCAAUGAAAUUAAAUUAGAUUAAGUUCUCAUCAUUUCCUCUCAUUUCUCUUCACUUUCUUCAAAACAAACUGUUAAUUUCUUUUUCCUUGUAUUUUUUUUAUUGUGGCAUUUCUUUUCUUUUCUCUUGUUUAUGCUCUUACCGCUUGUUCUUCAAAAUCUAUAUUCCAGUAGCUUAGCUAACUGUUUUCAUAUUAUUUUAGGACUUGCCUCAAUUUAGAUAAAUAUUACAAAAUUUCAACAAACUGAAUCAAUAUGAUACCUGUGCAUGGAAAGCUGAGCAAUG
This 751-nucleotide unclassified non-coding RNA is filed under the name Hevea brasiliensis (rubber tree). Lineage: Eukaryota; Viridiplantae; Streptophyta; Magnoliopsida; Malpighiales; Euphorbiaceae. The record is from RNAcentral.